AUUUCCUUCAGCUAGAGGAGCUCAACGGAUCUGUUUUCUUUCGCUCAGCCAAAAUCACAGAAUGAAGGCGGUGAAGAGCGAACGGGAGCGAGGGAGCCGGCGAAGACACCGGGACGGGGACGUGGUGCUGCCGGCGGGGGUGGUGGUGAAGCAGGAGCGUCUCAGCCCAGAAAUCGCACCUCCCGCCCACCGCCGUCCGGACCACUCUGGCGGUAGCCCGUCUCCGCCGACCAGCGAGCCGGCCCGCCCGGGCCACCGCGGGAACCGAGCCCGAGGAGUUAGCCGGUCCCCACCCAAAAAGAAAAACAAGUCCUCAGGGAGAAGAAGCAAGUCUCCUCGCAGUAAGAGAAACCGAAGUCCUCACCACUCAACAGUCAAAGUGAAGCAGGUAAGUGGAUUGGGGUGUUUUGAUGGGUCCAAAUUGACAGCCUUUUCCUAUCACAGCUAAAGAGGGCUGUGUGUGUGUGUUGUGUGUGUGUGCACGUGUGCACGCACGCUCGCCUACAUCUCUACCUGUACCUUCAAUGGGCUUUUCUGAAAACUGGC
RNAcentral lists this small RNA (546 nucleotides) under Pongo abelii (Sumatran orangutan). RNAcentral describes it as "retained intron". Lineage: Eukaryota; Metazoa; Chordata; Mammalia; Primates; Hominidae. The record is from RNAcentral.